This is a non-coding RNA of Punica granatum (pomegranate), 686 nucleotides long. The record is from RefSeq and is a predicted model, not a curated record. Lineage: Eukaryota; Viridiplantae; Streptophyta; Magnoliopsida; Myrtales; Lythraceae.
GCCAAUGCCAGAUGACCAGGCCAAACUCCUAUAUAUUGAAGCCAGGUAUCAGAAGAGAGACACAAACGCUUCUCCUCAACUUGCCAGAGCUUCUCCCAUGGCGACCUUUACCUCUGGUUAUGCAGCUGCUGAUGAUAACAGGUUUCGUUAUAGAUCUAGAGGUAAUCGUGGUGGUAGCGUCAGUCGAAUUGUAACUUCUUCCUCUCACAGUUCGGGAACAUGGAGCUCGGUAACCUGCUAUUUUCUAGUCAGUUCUAUUUUCGAGGAAUCUGAUUCUACGGUCACUUUGAGUGUCGAUUUAAGUUAAACAACCGACUGGGGAUGCACGAUAACUUUUUUUUUUUUCCAGAAGCUCCCAAAGGUGUGAUGACAAAAGAUGUGUUCACGGAUUCCCCCCAAAAGAUGUGUUAAUGGAACACUCAUUUGAGCAAGAUUACUACACUGCCUCGUCCUCGGACCUUCAUCAUGGCCCAGGACGAUGGACGAUUCUCCCUCGUAUAUCAUGGAACGGAGAGAAGCAUGUCGAUUAGUGGAGCUGAUAUCGUUGUUUGAUGUAUGAACUAAUAGAUCGUAUUAAAUAAGUCUAUAUUCAAAUAAUUUUUUUAUAUAUAUAAUGAAGAUCCAUGGAGUACAUGAAUAGAAAUGCGAAUAGAUGGACACGAAAAGUCCCAUUGAGAAUGAUCCAA